UAGCGGAACUCCUACGGGAGGCAGCAGUGGGGAAUAUUGCACAAUGGGGGAAACCCUGAUGCAGCCAUGCCGCGUGUGUGAAGAAGGCCUUCGGGUUGUAAAGCACUUUCAGUAGGGAGGAAAGGGUAAGGUUUAAUACGCCUUAUCUGUGACGUUACCUACAGAAGAAGGACCGGCUAACUCCGUGCCAGCAGCCGCGGUAAUACGGAGGGUCCGAGCGUUAAUCGGAAUUACUGGGCGUAAAGCGUGCGCAGGCGGUUUGUUAAGCGAGAUGUGAAAGCCCUGGGCUCAACCUAGGAAUAGCAUUUCGAACUGGCGAACUAGAGUCUUGUAGAGGGGGGUAGAAUUCCAGGUGUAGCGGUGAAAUGCGUAGAGAUCUGGAGGAAUACCGGUGGCGAAGGCGGCCCCCUGGACAAAGACUGACGCUCAUGCACGAAAGCGUGGGGAGCAAACAGGAUUAGAAACCCUUGUAGUCCACUUAUG
RNAcentral lists this ribosomal RNA (483 nucleotides) under uncultured bacterium. RNAcentral describes it as "bacterial SSU rRNA". It matches the Rfam family "Bacterial small subunit ribosomal RNA", at positions 328 to 803 of the family's 1533-position model. The record is from RNAcentral.